CCUACGGGAGGCAGCAGUGGGGAAUUUUGGACAAUGGGCGCAAGCCUGAUCCAGCCAUUCCGCGUGAGUGAAGAAGGCCUUCGGGUUGUAAAGCUCUUUCGCAAGGGAAGAAAACUUAGUCUCUAACAUAGACUGAGGUUGACGGUACCUUGAUAAGAAGCACCGGCUAACUACGUGCCAGCAGCCGCGGUAAUACGUAGGGUGCGAGCGUUAAUCGGAAUUACUGGGCGUAAAGCGUGCGCAGGCUGUUUUGUAAGUCAGAUGUGAAAUCCCUGAGCUCAACUUAGGAACUGCGUUUGAAACUACAAGACUAGAAUAUGUCAGAGGGGGGUAGAAUUCCACGUGUAGCAGUGAAAUGCGUAGAGAUGUGGAGGAAUACCAAUGGCGAAGGCAGCCCCCUGGGAUAAUAUUGACGCUCAUGCACGAAAGCGUGGGGAGCAAACAGGAUUAGAUACCCUGGUAGUCCACGCCCUAAACGAUGUCUACUAGUUGUUGGUGGAGUAAAAUCCAUGAGUAACGCAGCUAACGCGUGAAGUAGACCGCCUGGGGAGUACGGUCGCAAGAUUAAAACCGUNAAAGUGAAGUUGACGGCUGAGACGUUGCGACGGACGACGACGAGGGAGGAGG
RNAcentral lists this ribosomal RNA (627 nucleotides) under uncultured bacterium. RNAcentral describes it as "bacterial SSU rRNA". It matches the Rfam family "Bacterial small subunit ribosomal RNA", at positions 338 to 957 of the family's 1533-position model. The record is from RNAcentral.